RNAcentral lists this ribosomal RNA (439 nucleotides) under Dolichognatha sp. GH59. RNAcentral describes it as "partial 16S ribosomal RNA". It matches the Rfam family "Bacterial large subunit ribosomal RNA", at positions 1831 to 2600 of the family's 2925-position model. Lineage: Eukaryota; Metazoa; Arthropoda; Arachnida; Araneae; Tetragnathidae. The record is from RNAcentral.
UUCUUAACGAAAUAAUUUUAAGUAUAAUCUGCUCCAUGCAAAGUAAAUAGCCGCAAAUUUCUGUGCUAAGGUAGCAUAAUCAUUAGCCCCCUAAUUAGGGGCUAGAAUGAAAGAUUGCACAAUUUAUUUUCUUUUUUCGCCUGCCCUAUAAAAUUUAUAUUAAAUAUAAAAAUAUAUUUAUAAAAAUAAAAGACGACAAGACCCUAUCGAACUUUACUGCAGUUAAGCUGGGGCAGCUAAUUAAUUAAAAUUUUAAUUUACUUCACACCCCCAAAAGACCCGUUUUAAACGCAAAAUGAAUAAGUUACCGUAGGGAUAACAGCGUAAUAUUUUCUAAAAGCUCUUAUUUAAGAAAUUGCUUACGACCUCGAUGUUGAAUAAUACCCCAUUUGGGGUAAAUCCCAAAUAAGGAGGUCUGUUCGACCUUUAAAUAAUUACA